Molecule: long non-coding RNA, 777 nt
Organism: Ornithorhynchus anatinus (platypus)
Lineage: Eukaryota; Metazoa; Chordata; Mammalia; Monotremata; Ornithorhynchidae
Exons: 3
Source: RefSeq, a predicted model, not a curated record
CGCUCGGGAUCCCGAGCCAGCCGACGGGGGAGGCGUCGGGAUACGGAUCUCCGGGCCCCCGCCCCGCCCCCGGGGACCCCGGGGGACCGGCGGCCGUAAGGGGGUCCCCGGAAACGGAGGGGCGGGGGGGGGGGGCCCGUGCGGCUCGUGGCUCCGGGGCCCCCGGAGGUGAACGGCUGCUGUUGGAACAGAAGGGAGGCCAUUUUGGAUCCCUCCUUCGGGGAGGAAAGCGAAAGCUCUCUCUAAAAACGAACCGUCCUCCGACAGCGGGACCGGGAAUUCUCCGGCCUGGGGUGACCGGAGGGAGAGCCUUCUCGCUGAAAGCGUGACUCCCCGAAUGCAAAUCCGUGAUCGGGGGAGUCUGAGCCGAGAGCGGGUAAUUUUCCCGGCUGGGAAUUUUCCUGUUCCGACCGGGCCGCUCCACCCUGUUGGCUUUGGGAGUCGUCGCCUUCUCCUUUAGUCAUAUGGCGCCUUGGAAGGGCUCCAGCCCGAGGUCCAGACCUGACAUACCCCCGAAGGAGAAACCCUGCGCUGCUUCGCACGAAGCGACCGGUGCCGUCCUGAGCUUCCAAACCGCUAACCGUAGGUACCGUCAAACAACGGGGCAGCGCGGCCCGGUGGAAAGAGCCCAGACUUGGGAGUCAGGGGACCCGGGUUCUAAACCUGUCUGCCGGGUGACCUUCGGCCAGUCACUCUGCCUCUCUGGGCCUCAGUUGCCUCCUCUGAAAAAUGAGGAUUAAAGUCUGUGAGCCCCAUGAGGGACGUGGAUUGUGACCA